RNAcentral lists this unclassified non-coding RNA (379 nucleotides) under uncultured Paenibacillaceae bacterium. Its description in RNAcentral is "contains 16S-23S intergenic spacer region". The record is from RNAcentral. Lineage: Bacteria; Bacillati; Bacillota; Bacilli; Caryophanales; Paenibacillaceae.
UCCGGUUUGUCACCGGCAGUCAUCUUAGAGGGCCCACCAUGAUGUGCUGGCAACUAAGAUCAAGGGUUGCGCUCGUUGCGGGACUUAACCCAACAUCUCACGACACGAGCUGACGACAACCAUGCACCACCUGUCUCCUCUGUCCCGAAGGCCUGCGAUGUCUCCACCGCAUUCAGAGGGAUGUCAAGACCUGGUAAGGUUCUUCGCGUUGCUUCGAAUUAAACCACAUACUCCACUGCUUGUGCGGGUCCCCGUCAAUUCCUUUGAGUUUCAGUCUUGCGACCGUACUCCCCAGGCGGUAUGCUUACUGUGUUAACUUCGGCACCAAGGGCAUGGAAGCCCCUAACACCUAGCAUACAUCGUUUACGGCGUGGACUAC